GCGGCAACAGCUCAAAUUUGAAAUCUGGUCCCCUUUGGGGGCCCGAGUUGUAAUUUGAAGAGGAUGCUUUUGGCGAGGCGCCGUCCGAGUUCCCUGGAACGGGACGCCGCAGAGGGUGAGAGCCCCGUACGGUCGGACGCCGAGCCUCUGUAAAGCUCCUUCGACGAGUCGAGUAGUUUGGGAAUGCUGCUCAAAAUGGGAGGUAAACCCCUUCUAAAGCUAAAUACCGGCCAGAGACCGAUAGCGCACAAGUAGAGUGAUCGAAAGAUGAAAAGCACUUUGAAAAGAGAGUUAAAAAGCACGUGAAAUUGUUAAAAGGGAAGCGCUUGCGACCAGACUUGCGCCCGUCGGAUCAACCGUCGCUUGCGGCGGCGCACUCCGGCGGGCUCAGGCCAGCAUCAGUUCGCUCGGGGGGAGAAAGGCGGCGGG
Molecule: small RNA, 429 nt
Filed under: Scopulariopsis candelabrum
Lineage: Eukaryota; Fungi; Ascomycota; Sordariomycetes; Microascales; Microascaceae
Description: eukaryotic LSU rRNA
Rfam family: Eukaryotic large subunit ribosomal RNA
Source: RNAcentral